CUCUGGGAGGGUUGUAGAUACUCCCCGCGCUCAGGAUGAACGCUGGCGGCGUGCUAAUACAUGCAAGUCGAGCGACAGACAAGGAGCUUGCUCCUUGACGUUAGCGGCGGACGGGUGAGUAACACGUGGGUAACCUACCUAUAAGACUGGGAUAACUUCGGGAAACCGGAGCUAAUACCGGAUAAUAUUUCGAACCGCAUGGUUCGAUAGUGAAAGAUGGUUUUGCUAUCACUUAUAGAUGGACCCGCGCCGUAUUAGCUAGUUGGUAAGGUAACGGCUUACCAAGGCGACGAUACGUAGCCGACCUGAGAGGGUGAUCGGCCACACUGGAACUGAGACACGGUCCAGACUCCUACGGGAGGCAGCAGUAGGGAAUCUUCCGCAAUGGGCGAAAGCCUGACGGAGCAACGCCGCGUGAGUGAUGAAGGUCUUCGGAUCGUAAAACUCUGUUAUUAGGGAAGAACAUACGUGUAAGUAACUAUGCACGUCUUGACGGUACCUAAUCAGAAAGCCACGGCUAACUACGUGCCAGCAGCCGCGGUAAUACGUAGGUGGCAAGCGUUAUCCGGAAUUAUUGGGCGUAAAGCGCGCGUAGGCGGUUUUUUAAGUCUGAUGUGAAAGCCCACGGCUCAACCGUGGAGGGUCAUUGGAAACUGGAAAACUUGAGUGCAGAAGAGGAAAGUGGAAUUCCAUGUGUAGCGGUGAAAUGCGCAGAGAUAUGGAGGAACACCAGUGGCGAAGGCGACUUUCUGGUCUGUAACUGACGCUGAUGUGCGAAAGCGUGGGGAUCAAACAGGAUUAGAUACCCUGGUAGUCCACGCCGUAAACGAUGAGUGCUAAGUGUUAGGGGGUUUCCGCCCCUUAGUGCUGCAGCUAACGCAUUAAGCACUCCGCCCGGGGA
RNAcentral lists this ribosomal RNA (901 nucleotides) under uncultured bacterium. RNAcentral's name for it is "bacterial SSU rRNA". It matches the Rfam family "Bacterial small subunit ribosomal RNA", at positions 1 to 879 of the family's 1533-position model. The record is from RNAcentral.